GACGAACGCUGGCGGCGUGCCUAAUACAUGCAAGUAGAACGCAGUUGCGAACGGGUGAGUAACGCGUAGGUAACUGCCUCAUUGGGGGGGAUAACUAUUGGAAACGAUAGCUAAUACCGCAUACUGUGAGAUGGACCUGCGUUGUAUUGGCUAGUUUGUGAGGUAAAGGCUCACCAAGGCGACGAUACUUAGCCCACAGUAGAGGGUGGUCGGACAACCGGGGAGUGAGACAGGGCCCGGACUCCUACGGGAGGAAGCAGGAGGGAAUCUUAGGGAAUGGACCGAAGUCUGACCGAGCAACGCCGCGUGAGUGAAGAAGGGUUUCGGAUCGUAAAGCUCUGUUGUUAGAGAAGCGGUACCUAACCAGAAAGGGACGGCUAACUACGUGCCAGCAGCCGCGGUAAUAC
This 407-nucleotide ribosomal RNA is filed under the name uncultured bacterium. Its description in RNAcentral is "partial 16S ribosomal RNA". It matches the Rfam family "Bacterial small subunit ribosomal RNA", at positions 28 to 526 of the family's 1533-position model. The record is from RNAcentral.